This 339-nucleotide unclassified non-coding RNA is filed under the name Serendipita sp. RNAcentral's name for it is "partial contains 5.8S ribosomal RNA, internal transcribed spacer 2, and large subunit ribosomal RNA". The stretch from base 1 to 71 matches the Rfam family "5.8S ribosomal RNA", at positions 84 to 154 of the family's 154-position model. The record is from RNAcentral. Lineage: Eukaryota; Fungi; Basidiomycota; Agaricomycetes; Sebacinales; Serendipitaceae.
GUGAAUCAUCGAAUCUUUGAACGCACCUUGCACCCUUUGGUAUUCCGAAGGGUACACCCGUUUGAGUGUCAUUGUAAUCUCACACCCUCAGACUUUUGUCGAAAGGGAGGUGGACUUGGACGCUGUCGUGUCACUACGACUCGUCUCAAAUGCAUGAGUGUACCCUGCGUCCGCAGCGUAUUCGGUGUGAUAAGCAUCUUCACCGGAGCAGUGCCCUCGGGCUCGCGCUUGCAAAUGUCGGGCUCUGCGCUUCUAAUCGUCCUCGGACAGCGACUGACAAUUUGACCUCAAAUCGGGUGGGACUACCCGCUGAACUUAAGCAUAUCAAUAAGCGGAGGA